AAGUCGUAACAAGGUUUCCGUAGGUGAACCUGCGGAAGGAUCAUUAACACGUAUCCAAACGUUAAAACCCCCCCCCGUGAACCUUCUCUUGUAACCCGCGUAGUUCGCAAUCUCUGAUAAAUCAUAGCCCGGAAAGUUGUAGUGAUUCAGAGACCUCUAUAAGCAAUGUUUCCCCAAGCAGUCUGUGUCGGAAAGUGUCAUUGAUUGUGCAAGGAUAGCGCUUCUACGAUUCCUGUAGACCGUACACUCGGGCAGGAGCUUUGCCAAAGGGUCCCCAUGCCCCCUAAUAACCCCACAGUUUAAUGUGAAGCUCAAUGUAAUACAUUGGGUAAAAAAACCGAACAACUGUUAACAAUGGAUAUCUUGGUUCUCGCAACGAUGAAGAACGCAGCGAAAUGCGAUACGUAAUGCGAAUUGCAGAAUUCAGCGAAUUCUC
RNAcentral lists this unclassified non-coding RNA (436 nucleotides) under fungal sp. Its description in RNAcentral is "partial internal transcribed spacer region". The stretch from base 344 to 436 matches the Rfam family "5.8S ribosomal RNA", at positions 1 to 93 of the family's 154-position model. Lineage: Eukaryota; Fungi. The record is from RNAcentral.